GGGAUAGAAUUCCAGGAGUAGCGGUGAAAUGCGUAGAUAUCUGGAGGAAUACCAAAGGCGAAGGCAGUCCCCUGGUCCGAUACUGACACUGAGGUACGAAGCGUGGGGAGCAAACAGGAUUAGAUACCCUGGUAGUCCACGCCCUAAACGAUGUCGAUUAGCCAUUGGAAGGACCCCUUUUCCUUUCAGUGACGUAGCUAACGUGUUAAAUCGACCGCCUGGGAAGUACGACCGCAAGGUUAAAACUCAAAGGAAUUGACGGGGACCUGAACAAGCGGUGAAUGAUGUGGAUUAAUUCGAUGCUACGCGAAGAACCUUACCUACCUUUGACAUGGCCAAAGUUCUACCGAGAGGCGGAAGUACUCGUAAGAGGAUUGGCGCACAGGUGCUGCAUGGUUGUCGUCAGUUCGUGUCGUGAGAUGUUGGGUUCAGUCCCGCAACGAACGCAACCCUUAUCUUUAAUUGCUCCUAUUUUAACGGGCACUUUAAAGAAACUGCCAAUGAUAAGUUGGAGGAAGGUGGGGAUCACGUCAAGUCCGCAUGGCCUUUAUAGGUAGGGCUUCACACGUCAUACAAUGGUUAGAACAAAGAGCUGCAAAUUCGUAAGAAGGAGCCAAUCUCACAAACCUAACCUCAGUUCGAAUUGCGGUCUGCAACUCGAGCGCAUGAAGCCGGAAUCGCUAGUAAUCGUGGAUCAGAAUGCCACGGUGAAUACGUUCUUAGGUCUU
RNAcentral lists this ribosomal RNA (728 nucleotides) under Candidatus Tremblayella phenacoccinincola. RNAcentral's name for it is "bacterial SSU rRNA". It matches the Rfam family "Bacterial small subunit ribosomal RNA", at positions 658 to 1382 of the family's 1533-position model. The record is from RNAcentral. Lineage: Bacteria; Pseudomonadati; Pseudomonadota; Betaproteobacteria.